Molecule: ribosomal RNA, 791 nt
Filed under: uncultured archaeon
Lineage: Archaea
Description: bacterial SSU rRNA
Rfam family: Archaeal small subunit ribosomal RNA
Source: RNAcentral
ACUGCUCAGUAACACGUGGAUAACAUGCCCUAAGGUGGGGGAUAAUCUCGGGAAACUGAGGAUAAUACCCCAUAGAUCAUAGAUGCUGGAAUGCUCUUUGGUCCAAAACUCCGGUGCCUUAGGAUUGGUCUGCGGUCUAUCAGGCUGUAGUGGGUGUAAUGGACCCACUAGCCCGUGACGGAUAUGGGCCUUGAGAGAGGGUGCCCAGAGAUGGACUCUGAGACAUGAGUCCAGGCCCUACGGGGCGCAGCAGUCGCGAAAACUUCGCAAUGGGGGAAACCCCGACGAGGGAAUUCCAAGUGCCAGCACUUUGUGUUGGCUGUUCUUCUGUCUAAAAAACAGGAGAAGUAAGGGGCGGGUAAGACGGGUGCCAGCCGCCGCGGUAAUACCCGCGCCCCAAGUGGUGGUCGAUAUUAUUGAGCCUAAAACGUCCGUAGCCGGUCUUCUAAAUCCUUGGGUAAAUCGGGCAGCUUAACUGUCCGAAUUCCGGGGAGACUGGGAGACUUGGGACCGGGAGAGGUCAGAGGUACUUCUGGGGUAGGGGUAAAAUCCUGUAAUCCUGGAAGGACCACCGGUGGCGAAGGCGUCUGACUAGAACGGAUCCGACGGUGAGGGACGAAGCCCUGGGGCGCAAACGGGAUUAGAUACCCCGGUAGUCCAGGGUGUAAACGCUGCGGGCUUGGUGUUGGGGGUCCUUAGUGGGCGCCCAGUGCCGGAGAGAAGUUGUUAAGCCUGCUGCUUGGGGAGUAUGUCCGCAAGGAUGAAACUUAAAGGAAUUGGCGGGGGAGCAC